Molecule: long non-coding RNA, 552 nt
Organism: Micropterus salmoides (largemouth bass)
Lineage: Eukaryota; Metazoa; Chordata; Actinopteri; Centrarchiformes; Centrarchidae
Exons: 3
Source: RefSeq, a predicted model, not a curated record
GUGGAUUUCUCCUUCCCAUCACUCGGCAGGUUUUGGAUCUUUCUGUCCAAUGAGGAGGUCCAGGUGAUGCCGUUUCCCUCUACGUCUUUCAGAGGUAUGCCACCAGCUUCAGUCAGACAGAAGACAGCGAACAGCAGUCACAGAUAUCCAAAUGGCGGGAAACUUCAAAACAUCUGGAAAUAACCUCAGUCAGCUGCCAAUCAGUUGGAUAUGCCUUACAGGGCCGUGGCCAGGGAACGCCACACACAGCUGAAGCGCUUCGUGUCCCCGUAGCAGCCGCGGUGGGCGGGGACUGCCAGGGCAGCGGCAGACUUGAUCCGCACCUUGAAGUUCUUACAGGAAGUGACGACAUGGCAGAGGGAGGAGAACGCGUCGCUAGACCACGGGGCCGAGUCUGAUGGGAAAUUAAAAAAAAAAAAAGAAAGAGAAAUGAACGGUCAAGUUUGAAGAGAGAGCAACAUUAAAAUAAAAUUCAGAUCAAUCACUGAUGGGUACACUUAACAAACCCCGUAUGUGAUGUAAAACUGAGGGGGAGUGCAUUAAAAAAAAAAA